UAACAACCGCCUGACCAUCACCUGAUGGUUGCCUGACAUUUAUGGAAGAGCGCAAAGAAGAUAAUCUGUCUGUUCCAUGAAACGUGAGCUGGGCAGCAGAGGACCAUUUACAAAACCGUUCACCCACACAUUGGCAGAUUGGUAUUGAUUGACAGCUGGGAGUUAAGCUGGUACUGCUCUGAAGUCGCCAUGACCUCUAACCUAGAUGGCUACAAUACCUACUACGACUUCUCCUUGCCUCCAGGUUUGCCUCUCUACAUUCUAUUCUCAACAAAGCAACCAGGGUGAUUCACCUGAAACAUACAAGUCACAUCACGUCACCUCAUGUUACUGUAAUAGAUUUUCAUCUUCUCAGGAUGGAAGUGAAGAGUUAUUAGAAUACCAUAAAGAGACUAUGUUAUGUGUUCCCCAAAUGCCACCCCCCUACUAUACUGGCUUCAUAUUAUACUCUCACCCUUUCUCUUUCUGCUCUGAGCUGUUAGUUGUCUUGUUGUGUCUCCACCAUAAUAUAUAUGUUGCUAACUCAUGGCCUUUA
Molecule: long non-coding RNA, 535 nt
Filed under: Homo sapiens (human)
Lineage: Eukaryota; Metazoa; Chordata; Mammalia; Primates; Hominidae
Description: HSALNT0403382
Source: RNAcentral